This is a long non-coding RNA of Anneissia japonica, 862 nucleotides long. RefSeq lists it as uncharacterized. The transcript has 3 exons. The record is from RefSeq and is a predicted model, not a curated record. NCBI's taxonomy places the organism in Eukaryota, Metazoa, Echinodermata, Crinoidea, Comatulida, Comatulidae.
GGAAAAGAUAAUCGUCCAGAGAGCAUGGCUUGUCAUGACAAGAAUGUUGGGCACUUGAAUGCUACAAAUGCGAAGACUGUGAACAAAAUACGUACAACACUGAAUCAUGUAUUAUACACCAGUUAGCCAACGAAAUGUGUGGAAAAUUCAUUUCCUCGUCCGGAGGUGUUAGUCGAAGAUGUAUUGACGAAUUGGAAUGUACAACAGCGAACGAGUGUACUUUUGGUAACAAGAAAAACUGCUUCAUGUGCUGUUCAACUGAUCUGUGUAAUGCCGCCACUCCAAGUGUCAUUACCACCUCAGCCACCAGUUUCGUCGUUAUCAUUGCUACUACAAUGAUGAUGUUGCUCAUUAUGUAGUGCCUAACAUGUAACUACGAGUCAACAUAAACUUGCAGGCAUAGAAUUUAAGUUUGCAUAAUUUUAAGGUUUUAACUAGAUUUGUAUAAUAAUUACUUCUGGACAGGUCAAAAGUUACACCUGGUUAUACUAAUUAUAGGUCAACAUAGCUCAGUUAUACUACUAUUAAUUGUUGAGUUUUCCACCAAUCAGCAGCAAGUUCUAACUUUCCAAUCACAUAAGUAUUUCCCUGUUUAGAAUCACUUGUAUUAUUUUCCAGAAAAUAAUUGAAACAACUCAAUCGAAACGUCAAGACAUUCUCUCUCAAAAGAAAAAAAAUGUUUAUAUAUGCUGUACGAUUAAGGAUUUAAUUAUUACUCUGCCAUGCAAACCUUCAAACAAUAGCUCUAUUGUUAUUAAAAUGUUAUGCAUUAAAAUUUUCAAUGUCUCAACAUCGAGAAAGGAUUAGCCUACCUCUACUUUUUCAAGUUUCUCCAGUCGUACACUUUUCCCUGUUCGCAUAU